GAAAGAGUGACGUAAGGGCCUCAACUAAGUUUUUCGUUCAUUCAUGACACCUAUCGAUGAUAACGAUAACUUAUUUUGCCACCAUUUCCGAAACGGCGCAGCCACAAACCGUUAGCCUGUUCGAGCUAGGGACGUUUUGGUACAUCUGUUCAGUCUAGCAUUUUGCUUAUCUCUCUUCACUAUUUUCCGUCUUAAUUGAAACGCCUGUUUCAACAUCUUACAGUUGCCUGUGCCUUUAACAAGCCCGGCUAUACUGAUCUUUACCAGAUUGGGUUGAAACACGCGCAAUGUAUUUUGCGUAUCUCAACCACUGACAAGCCAACCACGACAAGCCAAUAAUCCGCUUUGAGCCAUAACACUUCUGCAAGAUACUGCAGCUUUGCCAACCGGCGAUAUAUUUGGAGUUGCCUCAAAGGAAGCUCAGCGCUCGGACGGAAGUGCUGGAGACGCCGAAGCCCGCGAAACUCUUACUUGUGUGAACGACGAGUGCGCAAUUUUACCGCCGUAGAAUUAAGGGCGAACCUCGAGAACAUGUAUUUGGGACUGAAACGCAGCCUUGGCUACUUCCAUUUCAUUUCGGGAGCAGCAUCUCUGUUUUUCAGCCGUAGCUGCGAACGUCUGCGCGUGGGAUAAACUCCGUGACUGCACUUUUCUGGUGGUGGUUGAAUAAAGUACCCGUCUAUGAUGGUG
Dermacentor andersoni is the source of this 690-nucleotide long non-coding RNA. RefSeq lists it as uncharacterized. The record is from RefSeq and is a predicted model, not a curated record. NCBI's taxonomy places the organism in Eukaryota, Metazoa, Arthropoda, Arachnida, Ixodida, Ixodidae.